AGAGUUUGAUCAUGGCUCAGAUUGAACGCUGGCGGCAGGCCUAACACAUGCAAGUCGAGCGGAUGAGGGGUGCUUGCACCCCGAUUCAGCGGCGGUCGGGUGAGUAAUGCCUAGGAAUCUGCCCGAUAGUGGGGGACAACGUUUCGAAAGGAACGCUAAUACCGCAUACGUCCUACGGGAGAAAGUGGGGGCUCUUCGGACCUCACGCUAUCGGAUGAGCCUAGGUCGGAUUAGCUAGUUGGUGGGGUAAAGGCCCACCAAGGCGACGAUCCGUAACUGGUCUGAGAGGAUGAUCAGUCACACUGGAACUGAGACACGGUCCAGACUCCUACGGGAGGCAGCAGUGGGGAAUAUUGGACAAUGGGCGAAAGCCUGAUCCAGCCAUGCCGCGUGUGUGAAGAAGGUCUUCGGAUUGUAAAGCACUUUAAGUCGGGAGGAAGGGCUGUAGGUUAAUACCCUGCGGUUUUGACGUUACCGACAGAAUAAGCACCGGCUAACUUCGUGCCAGCAGCCGCGGUAAUACGAAGGGUGCAAGCGUUAAUCGGAAUUACUGGGCGUAAAGCGCGCGUAGGUGGUUUGGUAAGUUGGAUGUGAAAGCCCCGGGCUCAACCUGGGAACUGCAUCCAAAACUGCCUGACUAGAGUACGGUAGAGGGUGGUGGAAUUUCCUGUGUAGCGGUGAAAUGCGUAGAUAUAGGAAGGAACACCAGUGGCGAAGGCGACCACCUGGACUGAUACUGACACUGAGGUGCGAAAGUGUGGGGAGCAAACAGGAUUAGAUACCCUGGUAGUCCACGCCGUAAACGAUGUCGACUAGCCGUUGGGCUCCUUGAGAGCUUAGUGGCGCAGCUAACGCAUUAAGUCGACCGCCUGGGGAGUACGGCCGCAAGGUUAAAACUCAAAUGAAUUGACGG
Molecule: ribosomal RNA, 913 nt
Filed under: uncultured bacterium
Lineage: Bacteria
Description: bacterial SSU rRNA
Rfam family: Bacterial small subunit ribosomal RNA
Source: RNAcentral